UUAACCGCGUUGGAACUAAGCAUAUCAAUAAGCGGAGGAAAAGAAACUAACAAGGAUUCCCCUAGUAACUGCGAGUGAAGCGGGAAAAGCUCAAAUUUAAAAUCUGGCGGUCCUUGGCCGUCCGAGUUGUAAUCUAGAGAAGUGUUACCCGCGCUGGACCGUGUACAAGUCUCCUGGAAUGGAGCGUCAUAGAGGGUGAGAAUCCCGUCUCUGACACGGACUACCAGGGCUUUGUGGUAUGCUCUCAAAGAGUCGAGUUGUUUGGGAAUGCAGCUCAAAAUGGGUGGUAAAUUCCAUCUAAAGCUAAAUAUUGGCGAGAGACCGAUAGCGAACAAGUACCGUGAGGGAAAGAUGAAAAGAACUUUGGAAAGAGAGUUAAACAGUACGUGAAAUUGCUGAAAGGGAAACGCUUGAAGUCAGUCACGUUGGCUGGGGAUCAGCCUCGCAAUUGCGUGGUGUACUUUCUGGUUGACGGGUCAGCAUCAAUUUUGACCGCUGGAAAAAGGCUUAGGGAAUGUGGCAGCUUCGGCUGUGUUAUAGCCCUUUGUCACAUACAGCGGUUGGGAUUGAGGAACUCAGCACGCCGCAAGGCCGGGUUUCGACCACGUUCGUGCUUAGGAUGCUGGCAUAAUGGCUUUAAGCGACCCGUCUUGAAACACGGACCAAGGAGUCUAACAUGCCUGCAAGUGUUUGGGUGGAAAACCCGAGCGCGUAAUGAAAGUGAAAGUUGAGAUCCCUGUCGUGGGGAGCAUCGACGCCCGGACCAGAACUUUUGGGACGGAUCCGCGGUAGAGCAUGUAUGUUGGGACCCGAAAGAUGGUGAACUAUGCCUGAAUAGGGUGAAGCCAGAGGAAACUCUGGUGGAGGCUCGUAGCGAUUCUGACGUGCAAAUCGAUCGUCAAAUUUGGGUAUAGGGGCGAAAGACUAAUCGAACCAUCUUGAUUUGGU
RNAcentral lists this ribosomal RNA (948 nucleotides) under Lepiota revelata. RNAcentral describes it as "partial large subunit ribosomal RNA". It matches the Rfam family "Eukaryotic large subunit ribosomal RNA", at positions 24 to 955 of the family's 3401-position model. Lineage: Eukaryota; Fungi; Basidiomycota; Agaricomycetes; Agaricales; Agaricaceae. The record is from RNAcentral.